Molecule: ribosomal RNA, 253 nt
Filed under: uncultured bacterium
Lineage: Bacteria
Description: partial 16S ribosomal RNA
Rfam family: Bacterial small subunit ribosomal RNA
Source: RNAcentral
UACAGAGGGUGCGAGCGUUAAUCGGAAUUACUGGGCGUAAAGCGUGCGUAGGUGGUUCGCUAAGUCAGGUGUGAAAGCCCGGGGCUUAACCUCGGAAUUGCAUUUGAUACUGGCGAGCUAGAGUGUGGUAGAGGGUGGUGGAAUUCCCGGUGUAGCGGUGAAAUGCGUAGAUAUCGGGAGGAACAUCAGUGGCGAAGGCGGCCACCUGGACCAACACUGACACUGAGGCACGAAAGCGUGGGUAGCAAACAGG